UACGGAGGGUGCGAGCGUUGUCCGGAAUCACUGGGCGUAAAGGGCGCGUAGGUGGCCUGUGGAAGUCUGCGGUGAAAGCCCGGCGCUCAACGCCGGGUCGGCCGUGGAUACUCUCGGGCUCGAGCUUACUAGAGGCAGAUGGAAUUCCGGGGUGUAGCGGUGGAAUGCGUAGAGAUCCGGAAGAACACCGGUGGCGAAGGCGGUCUGCUGGGGUAAUGCUGACACUGAUGCGCGACAGCGUGGGGAGCAAACAGGG
RNAcentral lists this ribosomal RNA (256 nucleotides) under uncultured bacterium. RNAcentral describes it as "partial 16S ribosomal RNA". It matches the Rfam family "Bacterial small subunit ribosomal RNA", at positions 524 to 777 of the family's 1533-position model. The record is from RNAcentral.